This 265-nucleotide unclassified non-coding RNA is filed under the name Hevea brasiliensis (rubber tree). Lineage: Eukaryota; Viridiplantae; Streptophyta; Magnoliopsida; Malpighiales; Euphorbiaceae. The record is from RNAcentral.
CAAUGUGGUUGCAUGUGCACAUCACGUGUCAAAAUAUUCAUUUACCUUUCCUCACUGGCAUUCUCUCACCCUCACCGACCGGCUACUUCAAUUCCCAGUUCCAACUGUGCCCUCUUUAGCACACACUUCGCCUCAACGUCGCCGGAACUCAGAUUUGGUCAUCGGGAAUCGGUAUCACUCAUAUCCUUAAUUCAAGAAAUGUAUAACAAUGUUGGAGUCCAGCCUGGGGCGCCAAUGCCUCCAACAAAUCCUCAGCCUAAUCCAU